This 73-nucleotide transfer RNA is filed under the name Alosa alosa (allis shad). Its description in RNAcentral is "tRNA-OTHER". The record is from RNAcentral. Lineage: Eukaryota; Metazoa; Chordata; Actinopteri; Clupeiformes; Clupeidae.
GCAGCUGUGGCCUACUGGUUAGCGCUUCGGACUUGUAACCGAAGGGUUGUCGGUUCGAACCCCGAUGGCUGAA